This 454-nucleotide ribosomal RNA is filed under the name Strobilops labyrinthicus. RNAcentral's name for it is "partial 16S ribosomal RNA". It matches the Rfam family "Bacterial large subunit ribosomal RNA", at positions 1816 to 2597 of the family's 2925-position model. The record is from RNAcentral. Lineage: Eukaryota; Metazoa; Mollusca; Gastropoda; Stylommatophora; Strobilopsidae.
UAGCUUUUUGAUUUUAUAAAAAGUGAAUUCUGCCCAGUGAUAUUCAUUUAACGGCCGCAGUACACUGACUGUGCUAAGGUAGCAUAAUAAAUUGGCUUUUAAUUGGAGUCGGGUAUGAAAGGAACUAUGAAGAUAAACUGUCUCAAUAAUAGGAAGAUAUAAGUUAAUCAAAAGGUGAAAAUACCUUUAAAUUUAUGUUAGACGAAAAGACCCUAAGAAUUAUAAUUAAUAUAAAUGAUAUUAUUUACAUAUUUUUGUUGGGGCAACAAAUUCAGAAAAUAAAUAACUGAUUAAUUAUUUUAAUAAAUACAGGACAAAUAUUAUUAAUUAUGAAUUUAAUUACCUUAGGGAUAACAGCAUAAUGUUUUUAAAAGAUUGUGACCUCGAUGUUGGACUAGGGUACUAUAAUAGUAAGCCAUUAUUAUAGAUAGUUCUGUUCGAACUUUUUGACCCU